GAUGAACGCUGGCGGCAUGCCUAACACAUGCAAGUCGAGCGAAAACAUCAGGACUUGUGUCGCCCGAGGGCGUCAGGCGUGGGGACCUUAACUUAGGUUCGGCCUACCUAUACGACAGGGAUGCUAAUACCGGAUAAUGUCUUCGGCCCGAAGAUUUAUCGACCUGGGAUGGGCACUCGUGGAAUUAGCUAGUUGUUAGGGUAAAAGACUACUAAGGCGACGAUCCAUAGCUGGUCUGAGAGGCUGAUCAGCAACACUGGGACUGAGACACGGCCGAGACUCUUACGCGAUGCAGCAGUGGGGAAUAUUGGACAAUGGGCGAAAUCCUGAUCCAGCAAUGCCGCGUGAGCGAUGAAGUUCUUAGGGUUGUAAAGUUCUUGUACCCGUGAAGAUAAUGACAGUACCGGGAGAAUAAGCCCCGGCUAACUCCGUG
This 433-nucleotide ribosomal RNA is filed under the name uncultured bacterium. RNAcentral's name for it is "partial 16S ribosomal RNA". It matches the Rfam family "Bacterial small subunit ribosomal RNA", at positions 28 to 507 of the family's 1533-position model. The record is from RNAcentral.